Camelina sativa (false flax) is the source of this 530-nucleotide non-coding RNA. The record is from RefSeq and is a predicted model, not a curated record. NCBI's taxonomy places the organism in Eukaryota, Viridiplantae, Streptophyta, Magnoliopsida, Brassicales, Brassicaceae.
UCUCUCUCUUCUCUCUAUCUCUCUCGACGGCGACUCGUUUUGCCGGCGAAACGAACCGUUAAUUUCGUCAGACGAAUCCAUCCGCGGUAUCAUCUAGAAGAUUAUCCCCCGGUUUCGAAGUGAAAGGAGGGUCACUUGAAGACAGCAACACAACACGGGAAAUCACAGAAGCAGUUGAGAAUCAUUGAGUCAGAGGUAAAUACUUUGGUUGUUUUGGUUGUUUAAUAGUCGAGAAUGCUUUAUUUCUAUUAAUGCUUUGGUUGUUUAAUAGUCGAGAAUGCUUUGUAUUUGUCUCGGUAAAAAAAUUUAUAUGAUAGGUUUUACUAUAUAAGUUUGAUCACAAUUAAAUUUGUCUUGAUCAUAAAUUGCUUUGGUUGGUGUAGAGUUUUGCUCAUUCAUUGCUUUGCGUGUAAUAGUGAUCUAUUUAAAAUCGUAAUUUAGUUGUGAUCAAAACUUAUAUAGUUGUGAUCAAACCGUAUAAUUUAGUUGUGAUUAAACUUAUAUAGUAAAACCGUAAAUAUUUUGUACUA